RNAcentral lists this transfer RNA (87 nucleotides) under Candidatus Omnitrophota bacterium. RNAcentral's name for it is "tRNA-Ser". It matches the Rfam family "tRNA". Rfam says of the family: Transfer RNA (tRNA) molecules are approximately 80 nucleotides in length. Their secondary structure includes four short double-helical elements and three loops (D, anti-codon, and T loops). The record is from RNAcentral. Lineage: Bacteria; Pseudomonadati; Candidatus Omnitrophota.
GGAGAGUUGGCAGAGCGGUUGAAUGCGGCGGUCUCGAAAACCGUUGUACCUUUACUGGUACCGGAGGUUCGAAUCCUCCACUCUCCG